RNAcentral lists this long non-coding RNA (1959 nucleotides) under Homo sapiens (human). Its description in RNAcentral is "HSALNT0385196". Lineage: Eukaryota; Metazoa; Chordata; Mammalia; Primates; Hominidae. The record is from RNAcentral.
ACAUCGUGAUCCGCCCGCCUCAGCCUCCCAAGGUGCUGGGAUUACAGGCAUGAGCCACCAUGCCUGGCUGACACAGUAGGCUUUUAACAAAUACUCAAGAAAUCGCAGUUCUUAGGCAUUUAAGGAACAGAGUUGGAACAAAAUCAAGAUUCAAAAUUAUUUCUCUAAGCCUUCUUUGGGCCACAGUCUACAAAGAGAUUGGGGAAGUAGGCUGUCAGAACUUUAAUGGUUCUGAAAUCACCGAAAAUGAUGUAACUGGAACACUUUCAUUUCACAAGAUUACAGUGUUACAUUUUCUAAAGAAACUGUCAUUUGCCUUCUGAACUAGAAACAGGGAUUUGUAAAAUAAUGUGCAGUGAUGGCGUGGAAAACUAACCAGCAGCACUCCUGAAAUGCUGCCUUCGUGUUCCCCUGGGACUGCUCGCCUCACCCCAAAACUAUUUCUACUGCCUUCCCCUUCCAUGCUACAACUAGUCUCCAAAGGUAGUUUUCUCUACUAACAAAGCAAACAGAUCAUAUGAACGGACAUCAGACUUUCUUAGGAGAUUUCUGAAAAUUCUCUCUUCUGGGGGAAUAAAUUGUGAGCAUUUCGAUUCAAACAUUCCUGAAAGAAUAACCAGGCAACCGAAACACUCAGUGACCUAACUGUGGUAGGCUGGUCACUUCAAACUUAACAGAACAAUAAAACAUAUACUACUUUAUGGCCAAAAAAAAAAAUCUUUUUAAAACAAUAAGUGUGGACAAAGUGUUUUCACAGAUGAAGAGAUGAAGUUCCUGAAAUUUAGGGUUUCAUUUCUCAAGGGUCUCCUUUAAACAAACAAACAGUUAUGAUUUCAAAGUAGACAUGUGCCUUCAACACCAUUUUUAAAAAUUACCAGCCUUAGCAAAGGUGUAGAAAAAACUUGUUCUCAAGCACUGUCCGUGGAAGAAUUAGUAAAACAUUUCUAGAAAACCUGUUACCGUCUUAACAAACUUUUAAACACAUGUAGCAAUUCUACUUCCAGGAACUUAUCUAUUUGCCAAGACAUAUAUGCAAGGAUCUUCCCUAUAGGGUUGUGUAUAAAGGAAAAAUCAGACAGACUAUGCCAGGAGCCCUCUGAAAGAGAAGAGUCAACUGUGGAGGGGGCACCUGUGAAUGAAUCCUGCGGAGCUGCUAACAGAGCAGACUUACACACACAACAUGACUUUCCUGGGCCUGACUCCCGGACCUGUCCCCAGCGCCUCGCGGCCUCUCGAGCCCCUUCAGUGACCAAGAUGCAGAGAUCAGGACGCCAUUGCACCACCCCAGGUGCCCGCCUCUAGCUGGCUCCGCCUGGGCCCCGAGGGAAGGGUCUGGCGCUGUCGCCCAGGUUGGAAUACAGCGGUGCAAUCUCAACUCACUGCAAACUCCGCCUCCCAGGUUCAAGCAAUUCUCCUGCCUCAGUCUCCUGAGUAGCUGAGAUUACAGAUGCCUGCCACCACACGCAGCUAAUUGGUUGGGUGUGGUGGGGCUUUCCAAUGAUUACUUAUUAAUGAUUACUUAUGAAAAACAACAACAAAAAAGCCAUCUUGAAGCUGCUUUUAAUGAGAGAACAAAUGUGCUCCCAAGCAACAGAGCAGCGAAAUUCUUUAUUACUGGAUUCUAACUUUCCUCUCUAACUGUAACUGUCUCAGCUCCACCUCAUGUGACUUGGAGGGUAUGUUGCAACCUGCGUCUUCACCACCCAUUCAUGAAGAUCUAUAAAACUAAUGUAAACUGCUGGGGCAAUUUCAACAUGAGUCAACUGGAGAUUGUUACUUGGUGAGAAUGCGCAAGUGGCAAAGAUCUAAAUUUGUUCAGCUAAUUUGUAAUUAACCUUCGCUUCUCACAUGUCAGUAUGUGAAGUGUCUGGUUUAAGCAAUUUAUCCAAAAAAGCCAUAGACUCUUUAAAUAACAACAAAACCUGGGCCUGGAAUUUUAUAAAGGCAGAAUGAGUAAGA